This 74-nucleotide transfer RNA is filed under the name Candidatus Woesearchaeota archaeon. RNAcentral describes it as "tRNA-Phe". It matches the Rfam family "tRNA". From Rfam's summary of the family: Transfer RNA (tRNA) molecules are approximately 80 nucleotides in length. The record is from RNAcentral. Lineage: Archaea; Nanobdellati; Candidatus Woesearchaeota.
GGGAGUGUAGCUCAACCUGGGAGAGCACAUGGCUGAAGACCAUGUUGUCCGGGGUUCAAAUCCCCGCACUCCCA